This 535-nucleotide ribosomal RNA is filed under the name Sphingobacteriales bacterium T4. Its description in RNAcentral is "bacterial SSU rRNA". It matches the Rfam family "Bacterial small subunit ribosomal RNA", at positions 380 to 917 of the family's 1533-position model. Lineage: Bacteria; Pseudomonadati; Bacteroidota; Sphingobacteriia; Sphingobacteriales. The record is from RNAcentral.
AGUCUGACAGCCAUGCCGCGUGGAGGAUGAAGGUCCUCUGGAUUGUAAACUUCUUUUAUCUGGGAAGAAAUCACUUUUUUCUAAAGGUGUUGACGGUACCAGAUGAAUAAGCACCGGCUAACUCCGUGCCAGCAGCCGCGGUAAUACGGAGGGUGCAAGCGUUAUCCGGAUUCACUGGGUUUAAAGGGUGCGUAGGCGGAAUGGUAAGUCCGUGGUGAAAUCUCCGAGCUUAACUCGGAAACUGCCGUGGAUACUAUCAAUCUUGAAUGUUGUGGAGGUUUGCGGAAUAUGUCAUGUAGCGGUGAAAUGCUUAGAUAUGACAUAGAACACCGAUUGCGAAGGCAGCAGGCUACACAAAUAUUGACGCUGAGGCACGAAAGCGUGGGGAUCAAACAGGAUUAGAUACCCUGGUAGUCCACGCCCUAAACGAUGAUUACUCGACAUACGCGAUAUACAGUGUGUGUCUGAGCGAAAGCAUUAAGUAAUCCACCUGGGAAGUACGACCGCAAGGUUGAAACUCAAAGGAAUUGACGGA